CCGUACGAGCGCACCCCCUAUCCUUAGUUGCCAGCACAUAAUGGUGGGGACUCUAAGGAGACUGCCGGUGAUAAACCGGAGGAAGGUGGGGACGAUGUCAAGUCAUCAUGGCCCUUAUGGGUAGGGCUACACGCGUGCUACAAUGGGCAGUACAGAGGGCUGCAAAGUCGUGAGACUGAGCGAAUCCCUUAAAACUGUUCUCAGUCCGGAUUGAAGUCUGUAACUCGACUUCAUGAAGCAGGAAUCGCUAGUAAUCGCGAAUCAGCAUGUCGCGGUGAAUACGUUCUCGGGCCUUGUACACACCGCCCGUCACAUCACGAAAGUUGGCUGUACUAGAAGUCGCCGAGCUAACCCGCAAGGGAAGCAAGCGCCUAAGGUAUGGUUGAUGAUUGGGGUGAAGUCGUAACAAGGUAGCUGUAGGAGAACCUGCGGCUGGAUCA
RNAcentral lists this ribosomal RNA (440 nucleotides) under uncultured Gammaproteobacteria bacterium. Its description in RNAcentral is "bacterial SSU rRNA". It matches the Rfam family "Bacterial small subunit ribosomal RNA", at positions 1087 to 1525 of the family's 1533-position model. The record is from RNAcentral. Lineage: Bacteria; Pseudomonadati; Pseudomonadota; Gammaproteobacteria.